AGUGAACGCUGGCGGUAUGCCUAACACAUGCAAGUCGAACGGCAGCACAGUAAGAGCUUGCUCUUACGGGUGGCGAGUGGCGGACGGGUGAGGAAUACAUCGGAAUCUACUUUUUCGUGGGGGAUAACGUAGGGAAACUUACGCUAAUACCGCAUACGACCUACGGGUGAAAGCAGGGGAUCUUCGGACCUUGCGCGAUUGAAUGAGCCGAUGUCGGAUUAGCUAGUUGGCGGGGUAAAGGCCCACCAAGGCGACGAUCCGUAGCUGGUCUGAGAGGAUGAUCAGCCACACUGGAACUGAGACACGGUCCAGACUCCUACGGGAGGCAGCAGUGGGGAAUAUUGGACAAUGGGCGCAAGCCGGAUCCAGCCAUACCGCGUGGGUGAAGAAGGCCUUCGGGUUGUAAAGCCCUUUUGUUGGGAAAGAAAAGCAGCAGGUUAAUACCCCGCUGUUCUGACGGUACCCAAAGAAUAAGCACCGGCUAACUUCGUG
This 492-nucleotide ribosomal RNA is filed under the name uncultured bacterium. Its description in RNAcentral is "partial 16S ribosomal RNA". It matches the Rfam family "Bacterial small subunit ribosomal RNA", at positions 29 to 507 of the family's 1533-position model. The record is from RNAcentral.